UACAGAGACUGCAAGCGUUAUUCGGAUUCACUGGGCGUAAAGGGUGCGCAGGCGGUCGGGUGUGUCAGAUGUGAAAUCCCGAGGCUCAACCUCGGAACUGCGUCUGAAACUACUCGACUAGAGUACUGGAGAGGGUAACGGAAUUCACGGUGUAGCAGUGAAAUGCGUAGAUAUCGGGAAGAACAUCGGUGGCGAAGGCGGCCUGCUGGGCUGUUGCUGACGCUGAGGCGCGACAGCGUGGGGAGCAAACAGG
This 253-nucleotide ribosomal RNA is filed under the name uncultured bacterium. RNAcentral describes it as "partial 16S ribosomal RNA". It matches the Rfam family "Bacterial small subunit ribosomal RNA", at positions 524 to 776 of the family's 1533-position model. The record is from RNAcentral.